Molecule: long non-coding RNA, 1042 nt
Organism: Stegastes partitus (bicolor damselfish)
Lineage: Eukaryota; Metazoa; Chordata; Actinopteri; Pomacentridae
Exons: 3
Source: RefSeq, a predicted model, not a curated record
AGUCCUUUCCUGUAAACAGUUUUUUUUUCUUUCCUUCUUGCAGUAUUUUUUCAACUCUGCUUAGACAAAUCUGUAGCGGGAGCCGAGGGGGUUUGAAGAAAAACAGUCAUGUCUGAUGAAUGGACAUAUGAAGGAAAAGAAUGAAGGGGGAAGAGCGUGGUCUGCGGGAGAAAAAGCCAGAAAGACUGAGAAAGAGAGGGAGACGUAGGAGGAAAAAAAAAAGAGAGAGAGAGAGUACCGGCACUGGCAAGAAAAAACGGGAGGGGGAAGAGAGGAAGGACCAGUAGGGGAUAGACUUAGGAAGGAGGGACGGCUGGAUAGGAAUUGACCGAAAUCGCGGGAAAAAGGAGAAAAAACAAAACUCCAGAAUGAGACGAAACUGGACUUCUCUCCACAACUCUGUGGCUGCCUCUGAUUUUUUGUUUGCUGCUAUGAUUUUUUCUCCACCACCCUCUCAUUCAUGUGUUGAGCCUCAGACAACCAAAACUUCAAGACCUGACUUUUAAAGAGGAAUGCCACGGUCAACCUUGGAAGCUCCCCAGCGAGACGAGAGCCAUGGGAAAAAGCUCCAGCUAGAUCCUGGUUGGGAGGUAAAUGCUUCGACAACAUCUGUUUCUUCUGCACUAACAAAGACGCUGAAUGUGAAAUGAAAGGGAGAGCAAACAGCUUGAUAGAUCAGAGCCAGUGACAGCGAACGUGGGCUUCGAAUAUCCAGAGACACAAGCAUUUUCAUGUCUCCUAGCUUUUCUUCUCUCCUCUGACAGUCUUUCUCCGUCUCCUUCUGUCCCUCUUUUCUUUUCAUUAUAAAACACAAGUUUGUUCUAAUUGUACUGACGCAAAAUUGCCGCCACUAUAAAGAAGCUGCUUCCCAGCUGGUUUAACACAUUCAGAGAGCCGUCGCUGUGUGUUAUUCAACAUAAGUGCAUAUGGGACCUCACGUAACUGCCCGCAAGAUUACCCUCUUUCUAUACGUUUCCAAAAAAAAAAAAAAAAGAGCAUUUGAACCAGUCAAAGCUGCCUUACAUCAUCUGUCACCCACAGA